RNAcentral lists this ribosomal RNA (238 nucleotides) under uncultured bacterium. RNAcentral's name for it is "partial 16S ribosomal RNA". It matches the Rfam family "Bacterial small subunit ribosomal RNA", at positions 15 to 235 of the family's 1533-position model. The record is from RNAcentral.
GAUCAUGGCUCAGGAUUAACGCUGGCGGCGUGCUUAACACAUGCAAGUCGAACGAGGAUUUAACGGAAUGCGAUUCGUCAAAUGAAAUUAAAUCCGAGUGGCGGACGGGUGAGUAACGCGUGGAUAACCUGCCUCACACAGGGGGACAACAGUUGGAAACGACUGCUAAUACCGCAUAACACAAGUAAUUCGCAUGAAUAACUUGCCAAAGAUUAUAUCGGUGUGAGAUGGAUCCGCG